RNAcentral lists this ribosomal RNA (618 nucleotides) under uncultured bacterium. RNAcentral describes it as "bacterial SSU rRNA". It matches the Rfam family "Bacterial small subunit ribosomal RNA", at positions 338 to 946 of the family's 1533-position model. The record is from RNAcentral.
CCUACGGGAGGCAGCAGUGGGGAAUCUCGCGCAAUGGGCGGAAGCCUGACGCAGCAACGCCGCGUGCGGGAAGAAGGCCUUAGGGUCGUAAACCGCUUUCAGGGGGGACGAAGCUUCCGGGGUUAAUAGCCUACGGGGUGACGGUACUCCCAAAAGAAGGUCCGGCUAACUACGUGCCAGCAGCCGCGGUAAUACGUAGGGACCGAGCGUUGUCCGGAAUCAUUGGGCGUAAAGAGCGUGUAGGCGGCUUGGUAGGUCUCGUGUGAAAUCCCGCGGCUCAACCGCGGAUCCGCACGGGAAACCCCUAAGCUCGAGUCCGGAAGAGGAGAGUGGAAUUCCUGGUGUAGCGGUGAAAUGCGCAGAUAUCAGGAAGAACACCCGUAGCGAAGGCGGCUCUCUGGGACGGUACUGACGCUGAGACGCGAAAGCGUGGGGAGCAAACAGGAUUAGAUACCCUGGUAGUCCACGCCGUAAACGAUGGGCGCUAGGUGUGGGAGGUGUCGACUCCUCCCGUGCCGAAGCUAACGCAUUAAGCGCCCCGCCUGGGGAGUACGGCCGCAAGGCUAAAACUCAAAGAUAGUACGGCGUGAGAGNGCGACGACGACGACGACGGAGGAG